AUGUUAAUAGAAAAAAAAGUCAACACAAUUUCUUGCUUCAUUUUUUCUUUUUACUUGAAAACUUGUUUAACCUUCAAAUUUUGGCAGUUACAAACCUGUACACUGUUGAUUUAUUAUUUUUUGGCUAUCUUUUUAUUUUUUGUUUUUGUUGCUUUGUUUUUCUUUCUUUUUUUAGAAAAAGACCACAAGACUGAAUACUACCAACAGCAAUCUAUGCAGGAACAAUUCAUCUCCUGGAGGGCAUUUCAUGAACGCGUGGUGCAUGGCUACAUGGAAAGCUGGCAUGGAAUGGACAUCAGCAGCACAAUACCAACAAAGGAAAGGGAAUGAAGGAAGUAAUUCCAUUAUUCACUUUCUGCUGCCCCACAAACCAACAACCUGACCAGAAUGUGUGCAAUGCAAGUAAAGUGCCUAUAACAGGUAGUGGAAAAUGGCUUGCAGGUACAUGUUAGGAAAAAAAAAAAGGAAAGCUUCUAAUUAGUUUAAAUAUGUUCCACAUGUUUCACUACAGUGGAAAAAUGGCCGGGAAAACAUCAGCCGGUAUUGAUGUGAAGGAAAAAACCAAAAUCAGACAUGUACCUAGCAGGUACUAUUAUCACCCAUUCCACUACAAUUGAUGACUGGUCUGAGUUCACUUCUGUAAUUAUCAUUCCACCCUCAUUUUAGCAACAUUCAUUUGGCAAAAGCAACAUUUUGGUAAAUGUCCAAAGAAAUGUGUGAAUUCUGUAACUACACCCUUCCUAGAGGGCUGCCAAGAAACAUGAGCUUAUGAGGCUUCCAGAGAAAUUUUCUCCAUGAGAUUUCUUGCAUAUUGCAAAGAAUGGAAGGUGGGAAGACCAAGGGCCCAUCACAAGCAAGUGGCUGCCCUCUCAAGGUAGUAGAGUGGUAAUCACUGUACUACAGAAAGGAGAUUGGAUAGAUGGAUAGGUCUAGUCUUUGCUCAGCUACUUACUUCCUAUGUGAGCCUGGGAAAUCAUCUCUCCCUCUCUGGACAUGUUUUCCUUUUUAUAAAAUAUGAGGGUUGGAUUAACCAAAUCUUAAGGACUUUUCAGUUCUUUGAGUCAAUGGUUAUCCCUCCUACCUUCCAUCCAUGGCCUGACUGCAAACCAGAAGAGGUAUCAUAUGUUUAAAGAUAAUGAAUCAAAACACAACACAUGAUUGUCUAAUAUGUAUUUAGCUGUAGAGCUAUUUUGCAGAAAAUCAAGGGAAGAAGAUAUCUUGAAGAAAGAGGUAUUUUAUAUAGGUCAGAGCGAAGGGUGGGCACACUUUUCUUCGGUGAUUUCUCAACUGCACUAGGAUCUAUUUAUUCCUUCACUAGUGUGUCAGGCAGGCAUUUUUCCCUCAAAGAAAUGCUGUGUAAGCAACAGUGACACAUCAGCGUUAAUCUCAUUCUAAUAUUUCCUGGGGGCAAGAAAUGAAUUGUUGGUUUUACUUUGAUGGUUUUUAUGUCACUGCAUUAUUAAAAGCAUAGCGGUGAUUCUAUUCUAGACCAUUAGUUUGUCAUUUUCAAUGCAAUCCUUGCAAAUGUGCUUCUUGCAUAAGAAAAAUACCAGACUAUUUGCAAAAUCAGUCUUAGUGAAAUUCAUUUAUCUCAAGACCACAGUAUGGACAAUGCCUUCCACGAGUAGUUCUGACCAAGAGACAGGAAGAGAAAGGAUACCUGUGAGAUGUAUUCAUUUACUCAGGGAAGUAUGGGAAUAAAGGAUUAAAAAAAAAAACCUUUCA
This is a long non-coding RNA of Oryctolagus cuniculus (rabbit), 1725 nucleotides long. The record is from Ensembl. Lineage: Eukaryota; Metazoa; Chordata; Mammalia; Lagomorpha; Leporidae.